Molecule: ribosomal RNA, 467 nt
Filed under: uncultured bacterium
Lineage: Bacteria
Description: partial 16S ribosomal RNA
Rfam family: Bacterial small subunit ribosomal RNA
Source: RNAcentral
GACGAACGCUGGCGGCGUGCUUAACACAUGCAAGUCGAACGGAAAGGCCCUGCUUUUGUGGGGUGCUCGAGUGGCGAACGGGUGAGUAACACGUGAGUAACCUGCCCUUGACUUUGGGAUAACUUCAGGAAACUGGGGCUAAUACCGGAUAGGAGCUCCUGCUGCAUGGUGGGGGUUGGAAAGUUUCGGCGGUUGGGAUGGACUCGCGGCUUAUCAGCUUGUUGGUGGGGUAGGGGCUUACCAAGGCUUUGACGGGUAGCCGGCCUGAGAGGGUGACCGGCCACAUUGGGACUGAGAUACGGCCCAGACUCCUACGGGAGGCAGCAGUGGGGAAUAUUGCACAAUGGGCGGAAGCCUGAUGCAGCAACGCCGCGUGCGGGAUGACGGCCUUCGGGUUGUAAACCGCUUUCGCCUGUGACGAAGCGUGAGUGACGGUAAUGGGUAAAGAAGCACCGGCUAACUACGUG